UGAACUCUAAGAACUUCAGUAUUCAGUGAUAUUGUUGGCUUUUUUCAAAUCUACCUCUACCCUUUUUUAUGAUAGAUAAUAAAAUUAUGCCUUCCCAAAUCACAUACAUACUAACUUAGGAAUUCUGUUUUUAAAUUUUCAAUUUGGCUUUAUCAAAUAUGUGUAUUAAAUUAUAGCAGAACAUGAUAUGCAGAACAGGAUGCAACCCUCUGGCGCACCUUGAAAAGUCGUAAGGUUGUAAGUCCCUGGCGUAGAUGGAAUAUGCUCGUAAACUUGACCUGCUGCAAAUCAGAGUAUGGGGGAGAAUGGGGGAUUUUAUUUUAAAUUAUGCUGGUUGAUAAGUAUGUAUGUUGUUUGGGUGUUUGGUGAUAUAU
RNAcentral lists this long non-coding RNA (374 nucleotides) under Mytilus galloprovincialis (Mediterranean mussel). Lineage: Eukaryota; Metazoa; Mollusca; Bivalvia; Mytilida; Mytilidae. The record is from RNAcentral.